This 560-nucleotide ribosomal RNA is filed under the name uncultured bacterium. RNAcentral's name for it is "bacterial SSU rRNA". It matches the Rfam family "Bacterial small subunit ribosomal RNA", at positions 119 to 674 of the family's 1533-position model. The record is from RNAcentral.
AGGAAUCUGCCUAUUAGUGGGGGACAACAUCUCGAAGGGGAUGCUAAUACCGCAUACGUCCUACGGGAGAAGGCAGGGGACCUUCGGGCCUUGCGCUAAUAGAUGAGCCUAAGUCGGAUUAGCUAGUUGGUGGGGUAAAGGCCUACCAAGGCGACGAUCUGUAGCGGGUCUGAGAGGAUGAUCCGCCACACUGGGACUGAGACACGGCCCAGACUCCUACGGGAGGCAGCAGUGGGGAAUAUUGGACAAUGGGGGGAACCCUGAUCCAGCCAUGCCGCGUGUGUGAAGAAGGCCUUUUGGUUGUAAAGCACUUUAAGCGAGGAGGAGGCUACCGAGAUUAAUACUCUUGGAUAGUGGACGUUACUCGCAGAAUAAGCACCGGCUAACUCUGUGCCAGCAGCCGCGGUAAUACAGAGGGUGCAAGCGUUAAUCGGAUUUACUGGGCGUAAAGCGCGCGUAGGUGGCCAAUUAAGUCAAAUGUGAAAUCCCCGAGCUUAACUUGGGAAUUGCAUUCGAUACUGGUUGGCUAGAGUAUGGGAGAGGAUGGUAGAAUUCCAGGU